This 1002-nucleotide ribosomal RNA is filed under the name uncultured bacterium. Its description in RNAcentral is "bacterial SSU rRNA". It matches the Rfam family "Bacterial small subunit ribosomal RNA", at positions 41 to 1021 of the family's 1533-position model. The record is from RNAcentral.
GAUCAGGCCUAACCCCAUGCAAGUCGAGCGGAAACGAUCCUAGCUUGCUAGGAGGCGUCGAGCGGCGGACGGGUGAGUAACACGUGAGAAUCUGCCCAUUAGAGGGGGAUAACCUGGGGAAACCCACAGGGCUAAUACCGCAUAAUCCCUACGGGGGAAAGCAGGGGAUCUUCGGACCUUGUGCUGAUGGAUGAGCUCGGCGUCGGAUUAGCUUGUUGGUGAGGUAAUGGCUCACCAAGGCGACGAUCCGUAGCUGGUCUUAGAGGAUGAUCAGCCACACCGGGACUGAGGACACGGCCCGGACUCCUACGGGAGGCAGCAGUGGGGAAUCUUGGAUCAAUGGGGGCAACCCUGAUCCAGCCAUGCCGCGUGUGUGAAGAAGGCCUUUCGGGUUGUAAAGCACUUUCAGUAGGGAGGAAGGCUUAUCCUUAAUACGGAUGAGUACUUGACGUUACCUACAGAAGAAGCACCGGCUAAUUUCGUGCCAGCAGCCGCGGUAAUACGAAAGGUGCGAGCGUUAAUCGGAAUUACUGGGCGUAAAGCGCGCGUAGGCGGUUUGCUAAGUCAGAUGUGAAAGCCCCGGGCUCAACCUGGGAACUGCAUUCGAAACUGGCAGGCUAGAAUGCAGUAGAGGGAGGUGGAAUUUCCGGUGUAGCGGUGAAAUGCGUAGAGAUCGGAAGGAACACCAGUGGCGAAGGCGGCCUCCUGGACUGACAUUGACGCUGAGGUGCGAAAGCGUGGGGAGCAAACAGGAUUAGAUACCCUGGUAGUCCACGCCGUAAACGAUGUCUACUAGUCGUUGGGAAUCUUAGUAUUCUUGGUGACGAAGUUAACGCGAUAAAUAGACCGCCUGGGGAGUACUGUCGCAAGGUUAAAACUCAAAUGAAUUGACGGGGGCCCGCACAAGCCGGUGGAGCAUGUGGUUUAAUUUCGAUGCAACUCGAAGAACCUUACCAGGCCCUUGACAUCCUUGGAACUUUCUAGAGAUAGAUUGGUGGCUAU